Molecule: ribosomal RNA, 143 nt
Filed under: Hymenoscyphus sp.
Lineage: Eukaryota; Fungi; Ascomycota; Leotiomycetes; Helotiales; Helotiaceae
Description: partial large subunit ribosomal RNA
Rfam family: Eukaryotic large subunit ribosomal RNA
Source: RNAcentral
CUGGCUCUGUCAGGGUCCGAGUUGUAAUUUGUAGAAGAUGCUUCGGGUGAGGCUCUGGUCUAAGUUCCUUGGAACAGGACGUCAUAGAGGGUGAGAAUCCCGUAUGUGACUGGCCGCCUUCGCCUAUGUGAAGCUCUUUCGAC